This 420-nucleotide ribosomal RNA is filed under the name uncultured Chroococcidiopsis sp. RNAcentral describes it as "bacterial SSU rRNA". It matches the Rfam family "Bacterial small subunit ribosomal RNA", at positions 356 to 790 of the family's 1533-position model. Lineage: Bacteria; Bacillati; Cyanobacteriota; Cyanophyceae; Chroococcidiopsidales; Chroococcidiopsidaceae. The record is from RNAcentral.
GGGGAAUUUUCCGCAAUGGGCGAAAGCCUGACGGAGCAAUACCGCGUGUGGGAGGAAGGCUCUUGGGUUGUAAACCUCUUUUCUCAGGGAAGAAAAAAAUGACGGUACCUGAGGAAUAAGCAUCGGCUAACUCCGUGCCAGCAGCCGCGGUAAUACGGAGGAUGCAAGCGUUAUCCGGAAUUAUUGGGCGUAAAGCGUCCGCAGGUGGCAGUUCAAGUCUGCUGUCAAAGGUCAGGGCUCAACCCUGAACAGGCAGUGGAAACUGAACAGCUAGAGUGCGGUAGGGGCAGAGGGAAUUCCCAGUGUAGCGGUGAAAUGCGUAGAGAUUGGGAAGAACACCGGUGGCGAAAGCGCUCUGCUAGGCCUGCACUGACACUCAGGGACGAAAGCUAGGGGAGCGAAUGGGAUUAGAUACCCCUG